AACUAAGAGAAUAAAAGCAUAGAAAAAUACACUAAGGCCCUGUUUGGAUGCAUAGCUAAAAAACUCCAUGGACUUUUUAUUCUAUGGUUUUGGCCUAAAUGAAAUACAGAAUCCUGUAACUAUAAAAAAAUUCCACAGUUUCAUUUUUAAGCUGUUUGGAUACAAAUCAUACAAUUCCACAGUAUUUAUAACAAUUAAAUUUCUAAAAUUUUAAAAUUCAAAAUUCAAAAUUCACAAUUCAAAAUUCAAAAUUUAAA
RNAcentral lists this long non-coding RNA (257 nucleotides) under Ananas comosus (pineapple). RNAcentral describes it as "long non-coding RNA (ACOM_LNC017135)". Lineage: Eukaryota; Viridiplantae; Streptophyta; Magnoliopsida; Poales; Bromeliaceae. The record is from RNAcentral.